Salvelinus sp. IW2-2015 is the source of this 2540-nucleotide RNA transcript. It is a transcript of the gene named tetratricopeptide repeat protein 39C-like, with no coding region annotated. NCBI's taxonomy places the organism in Eukaryota, Metazoa, Chordata, Actinopteri, Salmoniformes, Salmonidae. The record is from RefSeq and is a predicted model, not a curated record.
GCUCUGAGUAGGGGGGCAGAGCAGGACAUAGGAAAGGGUACUGAUGAGAGGAAAUAGCCAGCAGGCAGGGGAAGCUGGGCCACACAGUGCGAUGGCAGGUUGCUGAUUUACCACAGCAGGCUUCAUCUUUGAAACCUCCUACUAGAGAUGCGCUAUGCUAUACGUUAUGACGACAAUCAGUUUUUCGACUGACGACAAUCAUUGCGUGGGUCAGACAAAAAAGCUAAACAGCCCUUUCUUCUUGUUAUGUAAUAGCAUAAAACACAGCAAGCUGAGGAGACUUUGACUUUGUGCAUUGCAAAUAUGAUGACGACCAGCUAGCACAUUGUAAAUUACGAGGAAGAACAGCUAUGUCUAAAUGAAUGUAUACCUAUUUUAAUCUUAGAAAUAGCAUGUAAAGGGUGCAUUGUGUGCAUUUGCACGAAACUCGGAUGCGCGCCGAGGAUUAAUUUACCGGUGGCCAAUUUGCGUCGCCUUCUGAAGAGGUUUAUCGCUGCACUGGUGUGAUACCUUCAGAAUUUUGGCCGAAAGGAUAUGCCGGCACAGUGUCAUCAUCAAUAACCAAGGUGGGAUAGUCUACAGGGAAGAAUAAUUUUGGAACCACAUUUUGGCCUGUAUUGAAUAUAUUAAUUAUAAGAAGCAGACGAUAGGCAUAAACAAUGGCGGGCCCGGAGCAGUCCCAGGGGCAGUCCCAGCAGGUAGAGGAAAAAGCUGAGCAUAUAGACGACGCUGAGCUCGCUCUUCAAGGUAUCAACAUGCUUCUCAACAACGGAUUCAAGGAGAGCAACGAGCUUUUCAGAAAAUAUAGGACUCACAGUCCACUGAUGAGCUUUGGGGCCAGUUUUGUCAGCUUCCUGAAUGCCAUGAUGACCUUUGAGGAGGAGAAGAUGCAGACGGCGUGUGACGACCUGAGAACCACGGAGAAGCUGUGUGAGAGUGACAACGCUGGCGUCAUAGAGACAAUCAGGAACAAAAUCAAGAAGAGCUUGGAACCCCAGAGGUCAGCGGUCGUAGUUGUGGACCGCCUGCAGCGACAGAUCAUUGUGGCCGACUGCCAGGUCUACCUUGCUGUGCUUUCCUUCGUCAAGCAGGAGCUCUCAUCAUACAUCAAGGGAGGCUGGAUCCUCCGUAAGGCCUGGAAGAUGUACAAUAAGUGCCACAGUGACAUCAGUCAGCUGCAGGAGACCUGUGUGAGGCGCUCUCCCUCCCAUGAGGAGGAUCUGUCCUCAGACCAGGCCAAUCACAACUCCCCAGUGGAGGGCGCUGUGACUGAAGAGGCCCUGGACCGGCUCAAGGGCUCCGUCAGCUUCGGCUACGGCCUCUUUCACCUCUGCAUCUCCAUGGUACCRCCACACCUACUCAAGAUCAUCAACCUGCUGGGUUUCCCUGGUGACCGUCUCCAGGGUUUGUCCUCCCUCAUGUAUGCCAGUGAGAGUAAGGACAUGAAGGCCCCACUAGCUACGUUGGCCCUCCUGUGGUACCACACAGUAGUGCUGCCCUUUUUUGCACUGGAUGGUUCUGACACUCAGGCAGGCCUGGAGGAAGCAAAGGCCAUUCUGCAGAGGAAGGCUGUGGUCUACCCCAAUUCCUCCCUCUUCAUGUUCUUUAAAGGACGUGUUCAGAGGUUAGAGUGCCAAAUUAACAGUGCGCUGGUGUCCUUCCAUGAUGCACUAGAGCUGGCAUCAGACCAAAGAGAGAUCCAGCACGUGUGUCUCUAUGAAAUCGGCUGGUGCAGUAUGAUAGAGAUGAACUUUGAGGAUGCAUUCAGGUCAUUUGAGAGGCUGAAGAAUGAGUCCCGGUGGUCACAGUGUUACUAUGCCUACCUGACUGGAGUAUGUCAGGGAGCUGCAGGGGACUUGGAUGGUGCCAAGUGUGUCUUCAAAGAUGUCCAGAAACUGUUCAAGAGGAAGAACAACCAGAUUGAGCAGUUUGCCCUCAAGCGGGCGGAGAGACUGAGGAAGAUGUCUCCCACCAGAGAACUGUGCAUUCUGGGAGUCAUAGAGGUGCUGUACCUGUGGAAGGCUCUGCCCAACUGCUCCUCCUCCAAACUGCAGCUCAUGAAUCAGGUGUUACAGAGUGUGGAUGACGCAUCGUGCAGGGGUCUGAAAAACCUCCUUCUUGGUUCCAUUCACAAAUGCCAUGGAAAUAAUAAAGAUGCUAUCCAGUCGUUCCAGCUGGCAGCCAGAGAUGAGUUUGGUCGACAGACCAACUCUUAUGUGCAGCCAUACUCCUGCUAUGAGCUUGGAUGUGUCCUGCUUGCCAAGCCAGAGACGGUGGGAAAAGGGAGAGCUUUUCUGCUUCAGUCAAAGGAGGAUUAUGCAGGCUAUGACUUUGAGAACAGACUUCACGUGCGCAUACACUCAGCCAUGGCCUCGCUGAAGGAAGUGGUACCUCAAAGACCCGCCGACCACUGAUGUAAUGAUAACUCAGCCUCCAGCUGUGCAUUUGAUGAUACGGGAAGCAUGGCUUUUACUAUACAUUGAAAGCCAUUCAAAACCACAAGAAUUUGGCAGUACAUGCAACCGGCCUCACAACCGCAG